GACGAACGCUGGCGGCGUGCCUAACACAUGCAAGUCGAACGAGAUCCAUGGGAGCUUGCUCCCGGAAGAUCUAGUGGCGAACGGGUGAGUAACACGUGAGAAACCUGCCCUGGAGUGGGGAAUAACUCGGGGAAACUCGAGCUAAUACCGCAUACCCUCGGAUGGUCGCAUGGCCGACCGAGGAAAAGAUUUAUCGCUCUAGGAGGGUCUCGCGGCCUAUCAGCUAGUUGGUGGGGUAACGGCCUACCAAGGCAACGACGGGUAGCUGGUUUGAGAGAACGAUCAGCCACACUGGGACUGAGACACGGCCCAGACUCCUACGGGAGGCAGCAGUGGGGAAUCUUGCGCAAUGGGCGAAAGCCUGACGCAGCAACGCCGCGUGCGGGAUGACGGCCUUCGUGG
RNAcentral lists this ribosomal RNA (402 nucleotides) under uncultured bacterium. RNAcentral's name for it is "bacterial SSU rRNA". It matches the Rfam family "Bacterial small subunit ribosomal RNA", at positions 28 to 422 of the family's 1533-position model. The record is from RNAcentral.